RNAcentral lists this ribosomal RNA (484 nucleotides) under uncultured bacterium. Its description in RNAcentral is "partial 16S ribosomal RNA". It matches the Rfam family "Bacterial small subunit ribosomal RNA", at positions 30 to 507 of the family's 1533-position model. The record is from RNAcentral.
AUUGAACGCUGGCGGCAGGCCUAACACAUGCAAGUCGAGCGGAUGAAGGGAGCUUGUUCCUGGAUUCAGCGGCGGACGGGUGAGUAAUGCCCAGGAAUCUGCCUGGCAGUGGGGGAUAACGUCCGGAAACGGGCGCUAAUACCGCAUACGUCCAGAUGGUGAAACUGGGGGAUCUUUGGACCUCACGCUAUUAGAUGAGCCUAGGCCGUAUUAGCUAGUUGGUGGGGUAAAGGCCUACCAAGGCGACGAUCCGUAACUGGUCUGAGAGGAUGAUCAGUCACACUGGAACUGAGACACGGUCCAGACUCCUACGGGAGGCAGCAGUGGGGAAUAUUGGGCAAUGGGCGAAAGCCUGAUCCAGCAAUGCCGCGUGUGUGAAGAAGGUCUUCGGAUUGUAAAGCACUUUUAGUUGGGAGGAACAGCAGUAGGUUAAUACCUUGCUGUUUUGACGUUACCAACAGAAUAAGCACCGGCUAACUACGUG